AGAUUGAACGCUGGCGGCAUGCCUUACACAUGCAAGUCGAACGGCAGCACGGGAGCAAUCCUGGUGGCGAGUGGCGAACGGGUGAGUAAUAUAUCGGAACGUGCCCAGUCGUGGGGGAUAACGUAGAGAAAUUUACGCUAAUACCGCAUACGAUCCAAGGAUGAAAGCGGGGGACCGUAAGGCCUCGCGCGACUGGAGCGGCUGAUAUCGGAUUAGCUUGUUGGUGAGGUAAAAGCUCACCAAGGCGACGAUCUGUAGCUGGUUUGAGAGAACGACCAGCCACACUGGGACUGAGACACGGCCCAGACUCCUACGGAGGCAGCAGUGGGAAUUUUGGACAAUGGGCGAAAGCCUGAUCCAGCAAUGCCGCGUGCAGGAAGAAGGCCUUCGGUUGUAACUGCUUUGUACGGAGUCGAAAAGGUCUGACCUAAUACGACGGACCCAUCGACGGUACCGUAAGAAUAAAGACACCGACGUAACUACGUCGCCAGCAGCCGCGGUAACG
RNAcentral lists this ribosomal RNA (505 nucleotides) under uncultured soil bacterium. RNAcentral's name for it is "bacterial SSU rRNA". It matches the Rfam family "Bacterial small subunit ribosomal RNA", at positions 26 to 525 of the family's 1533-position model. The record is from RNAcentral.